GGAGUUGGCAGCCAGUGGUCCUGGGGACCGCGAGAAACACUCUGUCUUCCUGCUUUGAGGACAGCUGAAGUCUUGCCACUUCUUCUGGAUGCUCUGACCAUCAGUAAGAGACACGGUCUGACUUUGUUACCCCGGCUGGAGUGCAGUGGUGCAAUCAUGGCUCACUGCAGCCUUAACCUCCUGGGCUCAAGUGAUCCUCUCGCCAAGGCUAGGAUAAGUAGCUAGGACUACAGAUGCGCCCCAUCACGCCCAGCUAAUUUUACAACUUCUGUAGAGAUGGAGUGUUGCUGGGUUGCCCAGGCUGGUCUUGAAUUCCUGGGCUCAAGCGAUCCUCCUGUGUCCGGAAUUGGUGGGUUCUUGGUCUCACUGACUUCAAGAAUGAAGCCGCGGACCCUCGCGAGUCUGUAUCCACCAGCUACUCUUCCAGAUUCAUGAGGCAAGGCCUGCCUGCUCACCUGGCUGGCCCCAAGCACCUCUUCAACCUGUUGCCACCGUCCUGCCUUGCUGCCCUUCUCAGCUCAUCCAGCAGGGUCUCCAAGUCGUGGAAACAGAAGCACAUAUACACACAUGCUCAUAUGUACAUGCCCACAGUCACAUAAGCACACCGAGAAACACCAUCGCAGACAUGUUCUCACAAGCACAUGUGCAUAACACUCACUACCCCUCACGCGUAUACACAUUAAUACACACACUCAUGCACACUCAGUCUUACACACACAGACACACAGCCAUAAUCACUGUUGUUGGUUGAAUUGUGCCCCCCCAUCCCCACCAAAAAGAUAAGUUGGAGUCCUAACCCCCAGUACCUGGGGAUGUGACCGUAGUUGGAAAUAGGGUGUUUGUAGAUGUAAUCAAAUUAAGAUGAGAUCUUACUGGAUUAGAGUGGGCCUUAAAUCCAGUGACUGGUGUCCUUAUAAGGAGAAAAAGAUUUGAAAACAGAGACAUGGAGACACAGAGCAGAAGGCCAUGUGAUGAUGGAGUCAGAGAUUGGAGUGAUGCAGCUAUGAGCCGAGAAAUACCAAGGUGCUGGCAGCCCCCAGAAGCAAGGAGAGAGGCAAGGAACAAUCUCCAUCAGAGCCUCUGGAAGAAACAGACUCUGCCAACACCUUGAUUUCAGACUUUUGGCCUCCUUCACUGUGCGAGAAUACGUUUCUGUUGUUUUAAACUACUGAGUCACCAAGUCUGUGGUACUGUGUUAUGGCAGCCCCGGCAACAAAUCCAAUCACACACACACACACACACACACACACACACACACACACACACACACACACAGCUGGCUCCAGGCUCAGUGAUGAGCUCAGAGGAGUUCCCCUUGGGAGCUGCUCUUUCUCUGUCUUCCUUCCUUAGUGAUUGGUCCAGUGGAUCCACAAAAGCUCAUGGCCCAGAGCAGGAGCCCAGUCAUUUUUAAUUCCUCUUCCCUGGAGUUCUUAACCAUGCGUUGCCCUCAAAAUCUGCUCUCAAGAUUUGGGUUGCCAUAUUUAGGAGCACCAGAAAACAUACAGGAAUGCUGUGUCUGCUUGCAUCAUAUUAAUUAAAAACUGGAAAUAACCUAAAUGUCCCAGAAUAGGUACAUAAACUGUGGCAUAUCCACUUAAUGGAAUACUACUCAGCAAUACAAAAGGAAAACCUAGUGUUACUUGAGCAACAUGGAUGAACUUCACAGACAUAAUAUUGCACAGCACGAGGCAGACACAAAAGUGUGCAUAUGCUAUGAUUCCAUUUACAUGAGAUUCAAGAACAGGCAAAGCAGAUCUAUGGGGAUAGAAGUCAGAAUAGUGGUUACCUCUGGAAGGUGGAAUUGACUGGGAGGGGCUUCAGGGAACCUCCUGGGGUGCUGAAAACAUUCUGUGCUUGCACCGGGUGGUGGUUAUGUGGGCAUUACAUAAAAUUCACCAAGCUGCACCCUUAAUGAUUUGUACAAUUUGAUGCACAAAUCUAACAUCUCAAGAAGAAUAAAUUUUACAAAGUACCUAAGAAGCAAAUGACCAGAA
RNAcentral lists this long non-coding RNA (1994 nucleotides) under Homo sapiens (human). RNAcentral describes it as "HSALNT0106498". Lineage: Eukaryota; Metazoa; Chordata; Mammalia; Primates; Hominidae. The record is from RNAcentral.